GACGAACGCUGGCGGCGUGCUUAACACAUGCAAGUCGAACGAAGAGCGAUGGAAGCUUGCUUCUAUCAAUCUUAGUGGCGAACGGGUGAGUAACGCGUAAUCAACCUGCCCUUCAGAGGGGGACAACAGUUGGAAACGACUGCUAAUACCGCAUACGAUCUAAUCUUGGCAUCGAGGAUAGAUGAAAGGUGGCCUCUACAUGUAAGCUAUCACUGAAGGAGGGGAUUGCGUCUGAUUAGCUAGUUGGAGGGGUAACGGCCCACCAAGGCGAUGAUCAGUAGCCGGUCUGAGAGGAUGAACGGCCACAUUGGGACUGAGACACGGCCCAGACUCCUACGGGAGGCAGCAGUGGGGAAUCUUCCGCAAUGGACGAAAGUCUGACGGAGCAACGCCGCGUGAGUGAUGACGGCCUUCGGGUUGUAAAGCUCUGUUAAUCGGGACGAAAGGCCUUCUUGCGAAU
RNAcentral lists this ribosomal RNA (460 nucleotides) under Veillonella parvula. RNAcentral's name for it is "bacterial SSU rRNA". It matches the Rfam family "Bacterial small subunit ribosomal RNA", at positions 28 to 465 of the family's 1533-position model. The record is from RNAcentral. Lineage: Bacteria; Bacillati; Bacillota; Negativicutes; Veillonellales; Veillonellaceae.